CAGCCGCCGCGGUAAUACGAAGGGGGCUAGCGUUGUUCGGAAUUACUGGGCGUAAAGCGCACGUAGGCAGAUAUUUAAGUCAGGGGUGAAAUCCCAGAGCUCAACUCUGGAACUGCCUUUGAUACUGGGUAUCUUGAGUAUGGAAGAGGUGAGUGGAAUUCCGAGUGUAGAGGUGAAAUUCGUAGAUAUUCGGAGGAACACCUGUGGCGAAGGCGGCUCACUGGUCCAUUACUGACGCUGAGGUGCGAAAGUGUGGGGAGCAAACAGGAUUAGAUACCCCAGUAGUCCCUGUCUCUUAUAA
RNAcentral lists this ribosomal RNA (301 nucleotides) under uncultured bacterium. RNAcentral's name for it is "partial 16S ribosomal RNA". It matches the Rfam family "Bacterial small subunit ribosomal RNA", at positions 509 to 809 of the family's 1533-position model. The record is from RNAcentral.